GGCCAGGGUGAUGAGUGACACAAAUG
This 26-nucleotide non-coding RNA is filed under the name Homo sapiens (human). The record is from RNAcentral. Lineage: Eukaryota; Metazoa; Chordata; Mammalia; Primates; Hominidae.